Molecule: ribosomal RNA, 492 nt
Filed under: uncultured bacterium
Lineage: Bacteria
Description: partial 16S ribosomal RNA
Rfam family: Bacterial small subunit ribosomal RNA
Source: RNAcentral
AGUGAACGCUGGCGGUAGGCCUAACACAUGCAAGUCGAACGGCAGCACAGUAAGAGCUUGCUCUUACGGGUGGCGAGUGGCGGACGGGUGAGGAAUACAUCGGAAUCUACUUUUUCGUGGGGGAUAACGUAGGGAAACUUACGCUAAUACCGCAUACGACCUACGGGUGAAAGCAGGGGAUCUUCGGACCUUGCGCGAUUGAAUGAGCCGAUGUCGGAUUAGCUAGUUGGCGGGGUAAAGGCCCACCAAGGCGACGAUCCGUAGCUGGUCUGAGAGGAUGAUUAGCCACACUGGAACUGAGACACGGUCCAGACUCCUACGGGAGGCAGCAGUGGGGAAUAUUGGACGAUGGGCGCAAGCCUGAUCCAGCCAUACCGCGUGGGUGAAGAAGGCCUUCGGGUUGUAAAGCCCUUUUGUUGGGAAAGAAAAGCAGCAGGUUAAUACCCCGCUGUUCUGACGGUACCCAAAGAAUAAGCACCGGCUAACUUCGUG